AGUGAACGCUGGCGGUAGGCCUAACACAUGCAAGUCGAACGGCAGCACAGUAAGAGCUUGCUCUUACGGGUGGCGAGUGGCGGACGGGUGAGGAAUACAUCGGAAUCUACUUUUUCGUGGGGGAUAACGUAGGGAAACUUACGCUAAUACCGCAUACGACCUACGGGUGAAAGCAAGGGAUCUUCGGACCUUGCGCGAUUGAAUGAGCCGAUGUCGGAUUAGCUAGUUGGCGGGGUAAAGGCCCACCAAGGCGACGAUCCGUAGCUGGUCUGAGGGGAUGAUCAGCCACACUGGAACUGAGACACGGUCCAGACUCCUACGGGAGGCAGCAGUGGGGAAUAUUGGACAAUGGGCGCAAGCCUGAUCCAGCCAUACUGCGUGGGUGAAGAAGGCUUUCGGGUUGUAAAGCCCUUUUGUUGGGAAAGAAAAGCAGCAGGUUAAUACCCCGCUGUUCUGACGGUACCCAAAGAAUAAGCACCGGCUAACUUCGUG
RNAcentral lists this ribosomal RNA (492 nucleotides) under uncultured bacterium. Its description in RNAcentral is "partial 16S ribosomal RNA". It matches the Rfam family "Bacterial small subunit ribosomal RNA", at positions 29 to 507 of the family's 1533-position model. The record is from RNAcentral.